GUCUGUGGCCUUGCCACCCUGAACAAGCCCGAUCCUGUCUGAUCGCGGAAGCAGGGUCAAGCCUGGUUAAUACUUCGAUGGGAGACCACCUAAGAAGAUCAGGUGCUGUAGGCA
Molecule: ribosomal RNA, 114 nt
Filed under: Pteropus alecto (black flying fox)
Lineage: Eukaryota; Metazoa; Chordata; Mammalia; Chiroptera; Pteropodidae
Source: RNAcentral